Molecule: ribosomal RNA, 492 nt
Filed under: uncultured bacterium
Lineage: Bacteria
Description: partial 16S ribosomal RNA
Rfam family: Bacterial small subunit ribosomal RNA
Source: RNAcentral
AGUGAACGCUGGCGGUAGGCCUAACACAUGCAAGUCGAACGGCAGCACAGUAAGAGCUUGCUCUUACGGGUGGCGAGUGGCGGACGGGUGAGGAAUACAUCGGAAUCUACUUUUUCGUGGGGGAUAACGUAGGGAAACUUACGCUAAUACCGCAUACGGCCUACGGGUGAAAGCAGGGGAUCUUCGGACCUUGCGCGAUUGAAUGAGCCGAUGUCGGAUUAGCUAGUUGGCGGGGUAAAGGCCCACCAAGGCGACGAUCCGUAGCUGGUCUGAGAGGAUGAUCAGCCGCACUGGAACUGAGACACGGUCCAGACUCCUACGGGAGGCAGCAGUGGGGAAUAUUGGACAAUGGGCGCAAGCCUGAUCCAGCCAUACCGCGUGGGUGAAGAAGGCCUUCGGGUUGUAAAGCCCUUUUGUUGGGAAAGAAAAGCAGCAGGUUAAUACCCCGCUGUUCUGACGGUACCCAAAGAAUAAGCACCGGCUAACUUCGUG